CGGACGGGUGAGUAAUGUCUGGGAAACUGCCUGAUGGAGGGGGAUAACUACUGGAAACGGUAGCUAAUACCGCAUAACGUCGCAAGACCAAAGAGGGGGCCCUUCGGGCCUCUUGCCAUCGGAUGUGCCCAGAUGGGAUUAGCUAGUAGGUGGGGUAACGGCUCACCUAGGCGACGAUCCCUAGCUGGUCUGAGAGGAUGACCAGCCACACUGGAACUGAGACACGGUCCAG
Molecule: ribosomal RNA, 232 nt
Filed under: uncultured bacterium
Lineage: Bacteria
Description: partial 16S ribosomal RNA
Rfam family: Bacterial small subunit ribosomal RNA
Source: RNAcentral